UCUGUUGUAGUCUAGUUGGUUAAGAUACUUGGCUCUCACUUGAGAGACCUGGGUUUAAUUCCCAGCAACGGAA
RNAcentral lists this transfer RNA (73 nucleotides) under Ipomoea nil (Japanese morning glory). It matches the Rfam family "tRNA". Rfam says of the family: Transfer RNA (tRNA) molecules are approximately 80 nucleotides in length. Their secondary structure includes four short double-helical elements and three loops (D, anti-codon, and T loops). The record is from Rfam by way of RNAcentral. Lineage: Eukaryota; Viridiplantae; Streptophyta; Magnoliopsida; Solanales; Convolvulaceae.